GGAGGCCUAACACAUGCAAGCCGAGCGGUAGAGAUUCUUCGGAAUCUUGAGAGCGGCGUACGGGUGCGGAACACGUGUGCAACCUACCUUUAUCAGGGGGAUAGCCUUUCGAAAGGAAGAUUAAUACCCCAUAAUAUAUUGAAUGGCAUCAUUUAAUAUUGAAAACUCCGGUGGAUAGAGAUGGGCACGCGCAAGAUUAGAUAGUUGGUAGGGUAACGGCCUACCAAGUCAAUGAUCUUUAGGGGGCCUGAGAGGGUGAUCCCCCACACUGGUACUGAGACACGGACCAGACUCCUACGGGAGGCAGCAGUGAGGAAUAUUGGACAAUGGGUGAGAGCCUGAUCCAGCCAUCCCGCGUGAAGGACGACGGCCCUAUGGGUUGUAAACUUCUUUUGUAUAGGGAUAAACCUACUCUCGUGAGAGUAGCUGAAGGUACUAUACGAAUAAGCACCGGCUAACUCCGUGCCAGCAGCCGCGGUAAUACGGAGGGUGCAAGCGUUAUCCGGAUUUAUUGGGUUUAAAGGGUCCGUAGGCGGAUCUGUAAGUCAGUGGUGAAAUCUCAUAGCUUAACUAUGAAACUGCCAUUGAUACUGCAGGUCUUGAGUAAAGUAGAAGUGGCUGGAAUAAGUAGUGUAGCGGUGAAAUGCAUAGAUAUUACUUAGAACACCAAUUGCGAAGGCAGGUCACUAUGUUUUAACUGACGCUGAUGGACGAAAGCGUGGGGAGCGAACAGGAUUAGAUACCCUGGUAGUCCACGCCGUAAACGAUGCUAACUCGUUUUUGGGUUUUCGGAUUCAGAGACUAAGCGAAAGUGAUAAGUUAGCCACCUGGGGAGUACGUUCGCAAGAAUGAAACUCAAAGGAAUUGACGGGGGCCCGCACAAGCGGUGGAUUAUGUGGUUUAAUUCGAUGAUACGCGAGGAACCUUACCAAGGCUUAAAUGGGAAUUGACAGGUUUAGAAAUAGACUUUUCUUCGGACAAUUUUCAAGGUGCUGCAUGGUUGUCGUCAGCUCGUGCCGUGAGGUGUUAGGUUAAGUCCUGCAACGAGCGCAACCCCUGUCACUAGUUGCCAUCAUUCAGUUGGGGACUCUAGUGAGACUGCCUACGCAAGUAGAGAGGAAGGUGGGGAUGACGUCAAAUCAUCACGGCCCUUACGCCUUGGGCCACACACGUAAUACAAUGGCCAGUACAGAGGGCAGCUACCAGGCGACUGGAUGCGAAUCUCGAAAGCUGGUCUCAGUUCGGAUUGGAGUCUGCAACUCGACUCUAUGAAGCUGGAAUCGCUAGUAAUCGCAUAUCAGCCAUGAUGCGGUGAAUACGUUCCCGGGCCUUGUACACACCGCCCGUCAAGCCAUGGAAGUUUGGGGUACCUGAAGUCGGU
This 1381-nucleotide ribosomal RNA is filed under the name Chryseobacterium balustinum. RNAcentral's name for it is "bacterial SSU rRNA". It matches the Rfam family "Bacterial small subunit ribosomal RNA". Lineage: Bacteria; Pseudomonadati; Bacteroidota; Flavobacteriia; Flavobacteriales; Weeksellaceae. The record is from RNAcentral.